RNAcentral lists this ribosomal RNA (252 nucleotides) under uncultured bacterium. Its description in RNAcentral is "partial 16S ribosomal RNA". It matches the Rfam family "Bacterial small subunit ribosomal RNA", at positions 524 to 775 of the family's 1533-position model. The record is from RNAcentral.
UACAGAGGGUGCGAGCGUUGUUCGGAAUUAUUGGGCGUAAAGGGCGCGUAGGCGGUGCCACAAGUCACUUGUGAAAUCCCCGGGCUUAACCCGGGGCCUGCAGGCGAAACUGUGGUGCUGGAGUAUGGGAGAGGUGCGUGGAAUUCCCGGUGUAGCGGUGAAAUGCGCAGAUAUCGGGAGGAACACCGGUGGCGAAGGCGGUUCUCUGGGCCUGUUCUGACGCUGAGGAGCGAAAGCGUGGGGAGCAAACAG